This 497-nucleotide ribosomal RNA is filed under the name uncultured bacterium. RNAcentral describes it as "partial 16S ribosomal RNA". It matches the Rfam family "Bacterial small subunit ribosomal RNA", at positions 28 to 507 of the family's 1533-position model. The record is from RNAcentral.
GAUGAACGCUGGCGGCGUGCCUAAUACAUGCAAGUCGAGCGAACAGACGAGGAGCUUGCUCCUCUGACGUUAGCGGCGGACGGGUGAGUAACACGUGGAUAACCUACCUAUAAGACUGGGAUAACUUCGGGAAACCGGAGCUAAUACCGGAUAAUAUAUUGAACCGCAUGGUUCAAUAGUGAAAGACGGUUUUGCUGUCACUUAUAGAUUGAUCCGCGCUGCAUUAGCUAGUUGGUAAGGUAACGGCUUACCAAGGCAACGAUGCGUAGCCGACCUGAGAGGGUGAUCGGCCACACUGGAACUGAGACACGGUCCAGACUCCUACGGGAGUCAGCAGUAGGGAAUCUUCCGCAAUGGGCGAAAGCCUGACGGAGCAACGCCGCGUGAGUGAUGAAGGUCUUCGGAUCGUAAAACUCUGUUAUUAGGGAAGAACAAAUGUGUAAGUAACUAUGCACGUCUUGACGGUACCUAAUCAGAAAGCCACGGCUAACUACGUG